Molecule: long non-coding RNA, 798 nt
Organism: Sarcophilus harrisii (Tasmanian devil)
Lineage: Eukaryota; Metazoa; Chordata; Mammalia; Dasyuromorphia; Dasyuridae
Exons: 2
Source: RefSeq, a predicted model, not a curated record
UCAAUACAGUUGUCCUCCAUUAGCUCUCUUCCUCCCAAUGAAGACAGUUUAUUUGGUUGCUGUUCUCCAGUUCCUACCUUUUAUGCUCCCUGAGAGCAGAAACUUUCACUCACUUCGAUACUCGAUAGAACAGCUUUAAUCUACAACCCAAGUAAAACUCUGGAUACCCAUGGAUUUUGAACUAAGGAGAAGCCUCCAGAUCAUCUAGUUUGGUCCUCUAAUUACAAAGAGGGAAAGAGAAACACAGAGAGAUGAAACAGCUUGCCCAAGGUUACACAGAAAAUACAUAAGGAAGUAAAGAUUCAGAGAUUCAACCAAGUUCUAAUGAAUCCAAAUUCAGUGGGAGGCCUACUGAUGGAGUGAGAGGACCUUCUGAAACAUUGAACCCAUUUGGGUGACUCACUUCAAUUCUCUGGGUUAGAGUUUGCUUCUUUGCAAAAUGAGAGAGCUGUGCUCACUGGACCUUUGAGCUCUCCCCUAGCUUCACCUCAGGCAUCUGGUGCUCAUUCUGCUGAUGACAUGAUAAUACAAACAUCUAUGUUGCCAUUUUACAAAUGAACACAUUGAGACUGGGAAGGCAACUGACUUGCCCAUAAUAACAAGGCAAGACCCAAGACCCACGACAAGACAAAAUCCAGUUCUCCCAAUUCCUGGUGCUCUUUCCAUCCUCCUAUACUCCUGAACCUUGGCAGUCCUGAGACAUCUUGUGUGUCCUUAAUAAGAUCCAGAUGAAAACUCAUCAUUUCCUUUCAUUUCCUACCACGAGGACCUAAUUAAACAUGUCUCCUUUCAGUUUCA